UAGAGAUAGCUGGUUAUUCAGGAAAAGGAUAUUAGUCCAAUUUUAAUCCUCUACAUAACUUUAAAUAUAUCCAUAGGCUUAAAAUUUAUUCAAAUAAGGUACAGCCUAUUUGAACCAGGGUACAACCUCUAUUAGCGGGUAAUGUUUAAACCAAUGUGACCAAGUAGGCCUAAAAGCAGCCAUCUUUCAAAAAGCGUUAAAGCUUUACCACACCUUACCACCAAUCCCAACCUAAACCCAAAACCUCUCACCACCUACUGAAUGACUCCAUAUUAAUAUGGAAACCCUUAUGUUAAAACUAGUAACAAGAAUAACCAUUCUCCUUAAAUGUAAGUGUAAGCCAAAAUGGACCCCCCGCCGGCACUUAUCGUCAAUGAAUCUACAGUAACAACUCUCACCAAGAAAAUUCUACUGCACUCAACGUUAACCUUACACAAGAACUUUUCUGGAAAGAUUAAAAAAAGAGGAAGGAACUCGGCAAGCAUUAAUCCCGCCUGUUUACCAA
Molecule: ribosomal RNA, 505 nt
Filed under: Hylophorbus nigrinus
Lineage: Eukaryota; Metazoa; Chordata; Amphibia; Anura; Microhylidae
Description: partial 16S ribosomal RNA
Source: RNAcentral